UCCUUCUUCGUUCAGUUGGCGACACUUUAUGAAAAGCUUGGCGGACAGCUAAUCCGUAUGUCACUGGUUCAAGUCCAGUAGAGGGAGCCA
This 90-nucleotide transfer RNA is filed under the name Photobacterium kishitanii. RNAcentral describes it as "tRNA-Ser". The record is from RNAcentral. Lineage: Bacteria; Pseudomonadati; Pseudomonadota; Gammaproteobacteria; Vibrionales; Vibrionaceae.